Oncorhynchus tshawytscha (Chinook salmon) is the source of this 1369-nucleotide long non-coding RNA. The record is from Ensembl. NCBI's taxonomy places the organism in Eukaryota, Metazoa, Chordata, Actinopteri, Salmoniformes, Salmonidae.
AAACCCGGACAACGCUGAGCCAAUUGUGCGCGGAGCUAUGGGACUCCCAAUCACGGCCGGAUGUGAUACAGCCUGGAUCCAAACCAGGGACUGUAGUGACGUCUCUUGCGCUGAGAUGCAGUGCCUUAGACAGCUGCGCCACUCGGGGAGACCCAUAACAGAGAUGGUAACAACACAGUAAAUGUGCAAGAGGGACAACUAGUUACUAAAGCUAGCGCUGUGAUUGGAGCGUUGCGCUUCCGCAGCUGCGCAGACACGGAGAACCUCGCUGGAGCUGUCAUCUGGAAAGGGAGGAGAGGAACAGAGAGAAGAACGAAAUAAACGCAGCGAGGACGCGAACACUCAAGAAAGAGGUGAGUGAUGUGGAAUGUCCAGAAUGCAUUUCUCUUGAAUAAAGGAGUUGCGUGUCACCGUUAUAACGGACACACGGCUAGAAACAGUUACGUGUCUCUGGCGUGAAUAGGAACUUCCCCCCCCUAUUCCUUUAGGCAAACGCGUCGGUGUUUGGUCGAGUUGGGGGGGUUUGAUGUGUUGUAAAGUCUGGGGGAGGUGAGGUGAGAGAAAGAGAUAAGAGACGAGGGCCUGCGACGACAGAUGAGCACGUCUCUCUCCUUCCCAUCUCUGUCUCAACCAUGAACAACUUUCUCUUGUUUCUCUCCAGACAAUAGUUUAGCUCUACAUUGAACUGUAGACUGUGUGUGUGUGUGUGUGGAAUUGGUGAGCCUUUAUCUAGAGCUGCGCGGUUGUAGAAAUGUGCUUUGCAACCCGAGAUAAAGACAGUUUCAGGUUGGAUAUCCUUAGAAUAUCCCACUUGAAACGGUUUUUACCUCGGUGCUUUGCAACAAACCGUGGAGCCAAACACUGUGCGCCGCUGGUUGUGGGUUAAACUAGCGGAGUAGUAGUCAGGUUCGUUAAGGUAGUCUUCUCCACGGUGUCGGUAUCUUCUCCACGGUGUCGGUAGCCUUCUCCACGGUGUCGGUAGUCUUCUCCACGGUGUCAGUAGCCUUCUCCACGGUGUCGGUAGUCUUCUCCACGGUGUCAGUAGCCUUCUCCACGGUGUCAGUAGCCUUCUCCACGGUGUCGGUAGUCUUCUCCACGGUGUCAGUAGCCUUCUCCACGGUGUCGGUAGUCUUCUCCACGGUGUCGGUAGUCUUCUCCACGGUGUCGGUAGCCUUCUCCACGGUGUCGGUAGCCUUCUCCACGGUGUCGGUAGUCUUCUCCACGGUGUCGGUAGUAUUGCGCUGUUAUUACACCGUUCCCCUGUCAGUGUGACGGUGGACUGUAGGCUAGUUAGACCACAGGCACCAUUGACUUGACGGAGCAGCGCUACUCUGUGGAUGUGAGUUGACUCUUGGGACGUUAUGGAGAC